RNAcentral lists this ribosomal RNA (248 nucleotides) under uncultured bacterium. RNAcentral's name for it is "partial 16S ribosomal RNA". It matches the Rfam family "Bacterial small subunit ribosomal RNA", at positions 15 to 236 of the family's 1533-position model. The record is from RNAcentral.
GAUCAUGGCUCAGGACGAACGCUGGCGGCGUGCUUAACACAUGCAAGUCGAACGAAAAGAGGGAAAGAGCUUGCUCUUUCCGGAAUUGAGUGGCAAACGGGUGAGUAACACGUAAACAACCUGCCUUCAGGAUGGGGGACAACAGACGGAAACGACUGCUAAUACCGAAUAAGUUCCAAGAGCCGCAUGGCCCAUGGAAGAAAAGGUGGCCUCUACCUGUAAGCUAUCGCCUGAAGAGGGGUUUGCGU